RNAcentral lists this ribosomal RNA (207 nucleotides) under uncultured delta proteobacterium. Its description in RNAcentral is "partial 16S ribosomal RNA". It matches the Rfam family "Bacterial small subunit ribosomal RNA", at positions 568 to 774 of the family's 1533-position model. The record is from RNAcentral. Lineage: Bacteria; Deltaproteobacteria.
CGUGUAGGCUGCUCGGAAAGUCGGAUGUGAAAGCCCUGGGCUCAACCUAGGAAGUGCAUUCGAAACUUCCGAGCUGGAGUGCUGGAGAGGAAGGCGGAAUUCUCGGUGUAGAGGUGAAAUUCGUAGAUAUCGAGAGGAACACCGGUGGCGAAGGCGGCCUUCUGGACAGUUACUGACGCUGAGACGCGAAAGCGUGGGGAGCAAACA